RNAcentral lists this ribosomal RNA (645 nucleotides) under uncultured Bacillota bacterium. RNAcentral's name for it is "bacterial SSU rRNA". It matches the Rfam family "Bacterial small subunit ribosomal RNA", at positions 35 to 697 of the family's 1533-position model. The record is from RNAcentral. Lineage: Bacteria; Bacillati; Bacillota.
GCUGGCGGCGUGCUUACACAUGCAAGNUCGAGCGGUAAGGCCUUUCGGGGUACACGAGCGGCGAACGGGUGAGUAACACGUGGGUGAUCUGCCCUGCACUUCGGGAUAAGCCUGGGAAACUGGGUCUAAUACCGGAUAUGACCUCAGGUUGCAUGACUUGGGGUGGAAAGAUUUAUCGGUGCAGGAUGGGCCCGCGGCCUAUCAGCUUGUUGGUGGGGUAAUGGCCUACCAAGGCGACGACGGGUAGCCGACCUGAGAGGGUGACCGGCCACACUGGGACUGAGACACGGCCCAGACUCCUACGGGAGGCAGCAGUGGGGAAUAUUGCACAAUGGGCGAAAGCCUGAUGCAGCGACGCCGCGUGAGGGAUGACGGCCUUCGGGUUGUAAACCUCUUUCAGCAGGGACGAAGCGCAAGUGACGGUACCUGCAGAAGAAGCACCGGCUAACUACGUGCCAGCAGCCGCGGUAAUACGUAGGGUGCAAGCGUUGUCCGGAAUUACUGGGCGUAAAGAGUUCGUAGGCGGUUUGUCGCGUCGUUUGUGAAAACCAGCAGCUCAACUGCUGGCUUGCAGGCGAUACGGGCAGACUUGAGUACUGCAGGGGAGACUGGAAUUCCUGGUGUAGCGGUGAAAUGCGCAGAUAU